CUUGCUCUCCGCUAAAAAAAUAUAUUUACAUUACCAAGGUGAAAAUUCUGUAUGUAAAGUAGCUCCACUGUCUGCAUUAGAAGGUGCAAACAAUGUGUUAAUUCCUUCUUGUAUGUUCCCUUGCAGGAGGCAGAGUAACAUUUACUGAGGAGGAUUCAGAAUAAGUCGGAGAGCUAAUUAGCAGCUCAUACAAUUAGCGACAUGUCAUGCUGCCAGGGGCUAAUUAACUGGUUUGGAAAAUUACCACAAGACGUGUGGGAGAAAAUAAGAUUUAUCUCUUAUCAGUGUAUGGCUGUUAUACUGCGAUUGUUCACUAUUAGGAUAUAUUGUAUAUAUAUUUUAGGCUACAUUAU
Molecule: non-coding RNA, 353 nt
Organism: Pelobates cultripes (western spadefoot toad)
Lineage: Eukaryota; Metazoa; Chordata; Amphibia; Anura; Pelobatidae
Source: the annotation of a GenBank genome assembly